CUCUUCUUUUCCUCGCCGGCGGUGAAGGUCACCGCCACCUACAACAACAAGACAAACACCCAAAGAGCAGUCGGUUUUAGUUUUUUUCUUCCUUGUUUUCAGAUCUGGUCUCGGGUUCUUUUGGAUCUGCUUCGCUGCAGAUCGGUCGCCUUCUUCUUCUCCUCCGUUUCAGGUGGCUAGCAGUGAAGAGGAACGACCGAGAAGGGGGGGUCGCUGCUGGGGUUGUUCAGGCUGUGGCGCUGUCGAUUUUGGUGGAGGUUGGUCUACGCCGAUGAUGGAUCGCGGGCCAUGGUGGAGCUAAACUGGAGGUGGUGGCUGACUUCUAUGGAGGCCAAUCAGCAGGGAGAUGAAGAAGAGAACGGGGACCUCCGGGUUGGAGAGAGAGCAGAGGCGAGGAGGUGCUCUCCGAUGUUGUUUCUUUUCAGCGGUUUGGGGCGGCGGCUUCUCCUUGGCUGUGGGUGACCGCUGCAGAGAAGAUGAAAGCUUGGGUCUCCAGUGAUGGAGAAGGGAAAGACGGAUCGGAAAAAAAAAAAACUUAGGGAGGUAGCGGUUUGAUUUC
Molecule: long non-coding RNA, 559 nt
Filed under: Populus tremula
Lineage: Eukaryota; Viridiplantae; Streptophyta; Magnoliopsida; Malpighiales; Salicaceae
Description: long non-coding RNA (PTRE_LNC000384)
Source: RNAcentral